Lates calcarifer (barramundi perch) is the source of this 1068-nucleotide long non-coding RNA. RefSeq lists it as uncharacterized. NCBI's taxonomy places the organism in Eukaryota, Metazoa, Chordata, Actinopteri, Centropomidae. The record is from RefSeq and is a predicted model, not a curated record. The transcript is spliced from 5 exons.
UUCCUAAUUUAAUGUCCUCCUGUAAACGCUCCGUGAACGUGCUGUAAGCUCGACAAAUCCAUUUCCGGUGUGUAACGCCACAGAUAAAUCAUUAACUUGAUUAUUUUUAUGUGUCAGCUGCCAAUAAACUGAAUUGGAAUCUCAACCGUGAACAUGAAGGAGACUGCGUCUGUUGAGUGAUUUAGUGUUUGAGACUCAGAUUUGUUCUGCUGCUGUUAGAACCUGGAGGAUUUGAUGAUGACCUGUGGACAGGUGUGGAGGUGGUGUUGGCCGACAGUGGGAUCUGUCCAUAGAAGACAUCUGACAGCUUGAUCAUUCAUUUAGAUCCCAGGUAACUGAAUAAAGCCUGUAGCAGGACCUGUUGUGGCCCCGGUUCUGAUGGUCUGUCGAGUCCAGCACAGAGCACCUGAAGUGGCUCCUCCAAGGCCGGAGGUGCCACAGGUGUAACGUUGUUGAUGAAUAUGUAGAAACCACCCGGCCCUCUUAUCGAUCAGCCGGCAGAGAGCUCACAUCUCCAGGCAUGAAAAUCACCAGCGACAAGGCCGAGCCGCCCAGCGCACCAAUCCAUCACCUCUCAUUUUAUGGCUCCCACCUCCAGAUCAAUACUGCCUGUGUGUGUGUGUGUGUGUGUAUGCUAUAUGUGUGAUGUAUGCCGGCCCAGUCUGAUUCAGAGUGACAAAGCACCUCAGCAGAGUCAAUAAACAGAGCAGAAAACGGCACGUUGAUAAAUGUGUGAUAAUGCUGUUGGAUUUAUCUGCAGUCAAACUCUGAACAGUUAAAAUAUUAAUGUGAACAGGACCAGUACGACGACUCCAGUCUACUUCAGCUCAGUGACACCACUUCACACACACAAACAGCUGUUUGAGUCUACAGGUCCUUCUCUGGAUCAGAGGCCGGGACCUGUCCAUAACAGAUGAAGCUGAUCCUGUGCUCAGCUCUGUCAUCGUCUGUGCUAAAGUCAACCUGAGGAGAAGAUGGAGCUCAUGAGCUGGACCAGCUCUCCAAACAGUAAGCCACAGCAGAGGACCCAGACUGUCCUCAGCCUGAAAACGAGCCCAGAGGUCGUCU